UCCCCUCCGCCGUCCGGCGCCGUCCGCGCUCCGCCGCGCUGGCUCCGCCGGCGCCCUGAGACAUGGACCAAUCAGACGGGAUGUAGCACUGCAGGGCCUGAUGGGAUAUGUUCAGUCAUGGCAUCAGAGCUUUCUAAGACGAUCUCUGUGGCAAGGCAAGAAAAGCACAAGAAUUUGUUCCUAAAUUAUAGGAAUCUGCACCAUUUCCCGCUGGAGCUGCUGAAAGAUGAGGGGCUGCAGUACUUGGAGAGACUGUACAUGAAAAGGAACUCCCUCACAACCCUGCCAGAAAACCUUGCUCAGAAGCUUCCAAACCUUGUGGAACUGUACCUUCACUCCAAUAACAUAGUUGUGGUCCCAGAGGCCAUCGGGUCUCUUGUAAAGCUCCAGUGUCUGGACCUCAGUGACAAUGCCUUAGAAAUCGUUUGCCCGGAAAUCGGUCGGCUGAGAGCUUUACGACACCUUCGGUUGGCUAACAACCAGCUGCAAUUCCUACCUCCAGAUUUAGGUCGUUCCCGAGAACUCCAGUACGUGUACGUGGAUAACAACGUUCACCUGAAAGGCUUGCCGUCCUAUCUGUACAAUAAAGUCAUCGGGUGCAGUGGCUGCGGCGCCCCCCUCCACGUGCCCGAGGUGAAGCUGCUUUCCUUUUCCUCCGGGCAGCUGACCGUGUCCCUGCCGGCCGAGGUGAAGGCCAUCGGGACGGAGAGCGACCGCGUGCUGCCGCUGCAGGAGCUGGCCAUGAGACGGCUGCACCACGCGUACCACGGCCUGCGGAGAGAUUUGAACUUUCUGUCUCCAAUCUCAUUACCCAGAAGCCUCCUGGAACUGCUGCACUGCCCCCUGGGGCACUGUCACCGGUGUAGCGAGCCCAUGUUCACCAUCGUCUACCCCAAGCUCUUUCCCCUGAGAGAGACGCCCAUGGCCGGGCUGCACCAGGGGAGGACAGCCGUGAGCUUCGUGGCUUACUGCUGCUCCACUCAGUGUCUUCAGAGUUUCGACCUGCUGAGCUGAUCCCACGGCCCCGCCAGCUCCACACUGCGGCCACCUGGGGCUCACACGCCGCUGCAGCAGGGGCAGGAGAGUCCAGCCAGGCCGGACCAGCCCCUUCCAGCCUGCUCUGUCCAGCAUGGGUGCUGCGGAACUCUGGAAUUGUCGUGAUUGAGCUAAAACGCCUUCACCCUUCUCCGAGUCGGAAUAUAUCCUCCCUCAGACGAAGGAUCCCGGGUCUUCUGUGGUUUUUUCUGCUCAUCCACACGCUGGUUACUUUGAUGAGCCAUCCCAAAUCUAAUUUGAAACAAAUCUCGCUCAGCUCCCUACAGAGCAAUCAUUUGACAGUAUAGCCAGAUUGACUUUGGAACACACACACCUCCUGCAGACUUCUGCUCUCCGUCUUUCCCCAGAGGGCUCUUUCCCUAGAGGUCUUCCCCGGGCUUUCUCCUGCGGGAGCUUGCAGAAUGUCAGAGCCUACGAGCAAAGCCUGGGGCCUGGGUUCCACAGUCUGUAGAGGCAGGGCGGGAGCUGGGUCGGUGGCAGAGUGGGAGCGUGGGCAGGCUCCCCGAGGACCCUCAGCACACACCCUGCGCAGAGUCAACGUCUCUGAGCCUCGGAGACUUCUGUGAGGGAUUUCACAACAGAAAUGUGAUGGUAAUGAAAUACACUCUUUUCAAAGACGACAAAAACAGUGUCUGGGGAUUUUUUUUAUUUCUUCUCAGGAUCUUUUGUGUGUGAGAGAGAAAAGCUGGAGGAACACUUGAAGCUUUAAAAGAUCUGAUCCUUUUCUUUCUAGAUCUAAACAUUUUCCAGAUAAUGCAGGGGUGGGGAACCUUUCUCUUGCCAAGGGUCCAUUGGAUAUUUAUAACAUCGUUUGCAGGCCCCAGAAAAUGAUCAGCUUAGAGAUGAGCCUGCUGCAGAGUUAUUGAAUUCCGAGGCCUGCCUGCAGCUGCCACGGCAGAGCCAGAGCAGAUGGCCCUACAGGCUUUCGACAGACCCCUGCGUGAGAAACGCGGAGAAAACACACGUCAGAUUAAGCUCGUCCAUGUCUCGUGAGACGGAUCUGCGAUGGAACGUAUGCUGAAGUACUCUUGCUGCAUAUGAUAAGCAGGCUUCAGACACUUGUGCGACGAGAGUUUGGCAGGGGUCUGCGUGCAGCCUGCACACAUUUACAUACUUAGCAGUGCCCGACAUGGUCUGUGUUCAGAGCCUGGCCUCCUUACUUGGCACACUGUCGUCCAGCUACCCCUGAGGAAACACAGGGCCAGCAGGUCCACGGUCAGCCUUGGAGUCCUGGAGAGAAUCUGAACCGAGAGCCUGUGGGCCUGCACCUGCCAGGAAGCAGUGCCCGGGCCGAGGAGUCACGCCCUGGCUCUUCCUUCCGCAGGACAGUGUUGCGACGGAAUGACUCUUUUUAAAGCAUUUCUGUUACUUUAAUUCAGAGUUCUGUAAGGCACGACUGAAGGGAGACCCCAGGCCUACUCCAUGGAAGAAUUCUUUUCAAAGAAUUUCAGACUCCAGAAGUUUGGUUUGUGGUAUUUUACUCCCUGCCCUAACUGUAAGGCUGGACUCCCAUGGUGCCACAAAUCCUCUGUAGUUAGUGACCAAGGUGUGCGCUUUCUACUGUCGCACCCCUGCUGCCCGGAGGCAGGAAGUCGCCACGUGCCCCAGCUGCGUCUGCCCUGCUCUCUGUCGCUCCUGUCCCCUUCAUACUUGGUGUGUUCAGCCUUGACGUUGUAGAGACUUGGCGUAUACCAGGAACUGAAGGUCUGUCAUCCUGUGACAUAAUUAAAGUGGUGGCGUCCCCUCUGUGUGCGUGUAAGUUAGGGGAGAGAGAUGGGGCAUGAACCUUCACAGACCAGCUGCAGACCUCAGUGGCCGCCACCGAGCACCCAAGUGACAGGACAACACUGCUGCACCGCCCCCGUUGCCGCGACAGCCGUACAUCUGGCGCUGUGCCACGUGCUGAGCUAACAUGCCCACUGCAGGAUGUCCUGCAAGCAUUUUGCUUUCAGGUUGUUGAAAUUUUACAGAGAUGCUUACCGUCCAGGCAUCGUCUCUCUGCCUAAUAUAACCCAGCAGGGCCUGGCCAGGUAACCCCGGGCAGCCUCCACCUUAAUGCCCGGCUGUGGCACCUGAGCUUCCCUGGGGAGACUGGAACUUAGAAUGCAGCUUCCCUGGUGCUGUGCUUUAAGGAAAUUUCCUGCUGGGUCCACAGACGUCAUCCCUAACCUUUGGUGAUGAUCAAGCAUCGGUGUCAAGUGGAGAAAAUGUGCCCACAUGGCUGUGUAUUUGAUUGUGUCCAAAGCAUUCCAGAAAAACGAAACAAAAGUUGUAAAGAAUCUGUUGCUUUCCGGAGCAACAGUUAUGCUGGGUAGAAAAAGCCUUCAUGCAGUAAUAGGGAUGCGAAGAAGAGGCCCUUGGAAAGUGGACUGUCCAGGUCAAACGGCGUCAGUGAGCUCACGCACGGUGAGUGGGAAGCUUUCAGAUCAAGACAGCGUCACGAGCGCGGACCUCCUGUGCCCGUGGGGUCCAUCUCCAUGUUGUUCUGUGCAGGCCAAAGGUUGCACUGUCCAUUAACGCGCUUUCUGUGGUGAGUGCUCAGAAGGUCCCCGGCUGGCGGAGGACCGUGGGGGCCUCCCGUCUGGCCCUGGCCCUCCUCUCCCGGGAGCGAGGGGUGCGGGAAACAUCCGCUGGCCAGCACGCUGCGCACUGAGACCUUUGCGUGGCGGCUCGGCGGGGCAUGCCCAUCUUUUUCAUGUUUCAUGUUGCAGGUCACAAAUUCCAGUGUGUACGGCCUAAGCGGAAGGCUUCCACACCAGCUGGCUUUGAGGCCCAGCAUCGUUUUCUCUGGGAUAUAAACUAUUUUGUAAUCUCUGGGGACCUUCAAAGCCAGUUUUUUUAAAUUGCUAAUAAACCUAGGUUUCUCUUUCCUGACUUGGAGAAGCAGGCGUGUUUGCUGAGGCUGCAGAGCUCAGGGCCCCGCACUGUGCCAGCAGGCAGCAGAACCCUCGCGUGCAGAGGAUUUGUGAGCGUGCAUUCCUGAGUGGGCCAACACCGACGCACCGCAGGGUGGUUAAAUACUGAGAUGGAGUUCACCUUGUGGACUUGAGCACAUGCACUCUAGGAGUUCUCUGACGUGUCCCCACACAACUUUACCAAGCUCUGGCCUUUGUGAUCUCUCAUUCCUGCUCGCCCCUAAGAGGGGGCUCGCCAACAUUUCUCCUGGAACUCAGAAGUUUGAAAAGCUCUGACAUCCCGGGAGCUGCAUGGUCGUGUGCGCCUGCCAGGGGUUGUGGUCCUGCUCAGUGAAACCACAGACCUCUCGGGGUGACCUUGAGGCGCUGCCCUGGAGGAACGCGAAGCGAGAGAGUGUCGCCGCCCUCUCCACUGAGUGUUGAAGAUGCUGUGUGCACACAGCCGUCUGCAUGGACCACGAGGCUUCCUGGUUUCAAUUAAGGAAAUCUUUGUAUGAUUCUUAGCUGGCCGCUGAACUACUCAGGCAGGGACUUAAGUAUCUAUGCAUUACAAAGAAUACCAACCUCAGAAUUAAUUCCAAAAGCCACUAAAUAAACAGCAAAUACAGCCAAACCUUGGCAUGAAGGUGAGUAAUAUGUUUUCCAGAAUUUACCACAUUAUUCUGUAAAAUGCCCUAUUUUCCACCAAAAAAAAAAAAAAAAGACAUGCAAAGAAAUAAAGUAUGGGGACGUGUGCCACUGGCACCCAGUUCGUGUCCCCGCUGCUCCACUCACCAUGCCAGCUUCCUGAUGAUGGCCUGGGGGAAGCAGCAGAAGAUGGCCCACGUGGCUGGGCCCCUGCGCCCACCUGGGGCACCUAGAUGGGGCUCAGGGCUCCUGGCUGCUGGCUCUUGGCCUUGGUGUGGCCCAGUGUUGGCUUUUGCACCCAUAUGUGGGGAGUCCACCAGCAGAUGGGGGCUCUUUCUCUCUGUUCCCCCCCCCAUAAUUCUUUCAAAAUAAAUUUUAAAAUCUCAAAAAAAUUAGGUCCCAGACAUGAGGGGAAAAAUAUAUAAUGUGCACCUGGGGAAGUCCAGUAUUAGACUUUUAGACAAAGACACAAAUCAGCUGUUUAAAUAUGUUCGGAGAACAAAAGAAAAUGUGUAAAGAACAAAGUAAAAAAUGACAUAUCACCAAGUAGAAAAUAUUGAUUGAAAAGAAAGUCUUUUAAAGAGAACCAAAUGUAAAGUUUAAAGUUGAAAAUCUAAUAACGGAAAUGAAGAAUUCAGGAGGAGGUGCUCAACCGCAGAUUUGAGCAGGCAAAAGAGUCAACAGACGUGAAAUAGAUCCAACGGAGAUUGUCCAGUCUGAGGAACAGGAACAAAGAAUGAGUACGGCCGCAGAGACGUGUGAGAUGCCCCGGGCACAUCAGUAUAUGCACAGCAAAGUCCCAGAGAGGAGGAGAGAGAGAGGCAGGGAGAACAGCUGAAAACUGCAGUGUGGUGAAGACCACAGACACACAGCCGGGAGGCUCUGAGAUGAUGCCAGACAGAUGACCCACAACAAGAGCUGGAGGACAAGAGGAAACCUGAUGAGUUUGACUCUAGGAUAAAUACUGAUACUAGAAAGAAGGAGACCGCGUAAUAACAAAGGGGCCGAUCCAUCAAGAAGACCUGGCCACAGAGCUCCAAUGCAAGAAGCAAAAAAUGACAAAGUUGAAAGAAGUGGCUCAACAAUAACUGUUGGUGGCACUCAUGCUAUACUUGCAAUAACGGGACAAAACGUAGAAGACUUGGACAAACCUGAAGCCCUAACACACGCUGUCGAUCACCCCACAGUAGCAGAAUGCACAUCUUCCAGACACAUGGAACACUGCCCGGGCUGCACCGUCAGGUCACUAGACAAACUCAGUACUCUUACUGGCAUUGGAGUCACACAAAGCCUUUUCUGACCAGCGAGGAAUGAAACUAGAGUCAUUAGCAGAAGGAAAUCUGGGAGAUCCACAAAUCCAUGGAAAUGAAGCGAUACGGUCAAAAUUAGCCACUGAGUCAAAAAAGAGAUCACGAGGUAAACUGGAAAAUUCUUGGAGAUUAAUUAAAAUAAAGGCACAGCGAACCAGAGCAUGUGAGGUGCAGGCAAUGCAGCGAUUGCAGUCAUGGAUGGCUGCCCGUGGCAGUAUCGCAGGAGUCCCAUCAACAGCAAGGCUACAGCCUUGAGAAACUACCCCGGGGUGGUGGGGACAGCAAACGGGACAGAAACAAGCAGAACAAAGGGACAGUCAUAGUAGAGUGAAAAAAAUAAUGGAAAAAUAAGAGAAAAAAAAUGAAAGAAAAAUUGUGUUCUUUAACUAGAAAAAAAAUUAAGGGGCCGGCGCCGCAGCUCACUAGGCUAAUCCUCUGCCUUGCAGCGCCGGCACACCGGGUUCUAGUCCCGGUCGGGGCACCGCAUUCUGUCCCGGUUGCCCCUCUUCCAGGCCAGCUCUCUGCCAUGGCCCGGGAGGGCAGUGGAGGAUGGCCCAAGUGCUUGGGCCCUGCACCCCAUGGGAGACCAGGAGAAGCACCUGGCUCCUGCCAUCGGAUCAGCGUGGUGCGCCAGCCACAGCGCACCUACCGUGGCGGCCAUUGGAGGGUGAACCAACGGCAAAAGGAAGACCUUUCUCUCUGUCUCUCUCUCUCUCACUGUCCACUCUGCCUGUCAAAAAAAAAAAAAAAAUUAAGGGACAUCAGUGACUAAAAUCAGGAAAGAAAGACUGUUACCAAACCUACAGAAAUUAAAGAACUGUGGGGCCUGGGGGUGCUGUGGUGCAGCAGGUUGGGAUUCCAGCAUUCCAUGUCAGAGUGCUUGAUUAGACUGCUGGCCACUCCACUUCUGACCUCGCCUCGUGCUGUGUACCCUGGGAGGCAGAAGAUGAUGGCUCAACACCUGGGUCCCUGCCAUCCGUGUGGGAGACCUGGGAGGCAGAAGAUGAUGGCACAAUAGCAGGUCCCUGCCGUCCGUGUGGGAGACCUGGAUGGAGUUCUGAGCUCCGGGUAUUAGCAUGGCCCAGCCCUGGCUGUUGGCAUUUGGGAAGUGGAAGGGCUCUCUCUCCCCUCUCCUCAUUUCAAAUAAAUGAAAAUAAAUAUUUUAAAAAGAAUUAAAUGGGAAUUCAUAUGGUCACAAGUUAGAGAACCUAAAUGACAUUGACAAAGUCAAAAACUCACAUACUACCAAAAGUGACUCAAGAAGAAAUGAAAAUUUGAAAUACAAACAAGAGGUUGGAUUAGUAAUCAAAAAACUUUGCACAAAGAAAACCCAGGAACAUGUUACUGGUGAAUUCUACCACACAUAUAAAUGAUAAUCAACACCUGUUCACAAAGCAUUCCAAAGACUUAGAGAAGGAAGCACUUCCCAACUCGUGCUCUGCGGCCAGUACUACCCGUUUACCAAAACCAGAUCAAGAAGAGAGAACUGUAGGUCAAUUCUCCUUAACAUAGAUGCCAAAAUCCUUAACUGAAUCCAGCAAAGGAUUGUACACCACAGCCCACGGAGGCAUCUCAGGAAUACAAAACCUAUAUCAUCUCAAUAAAUGUGGGAAAGGCACUUCAUGUCUGAUAAAACCCAACCCCCUUUUUGAUGAAAACAUUAAAAAACAAAACAAAAAAACCCUUUCUCAACCUGAUAAAGAAUAUCUGAAAAACUCAUAGUUAGUGUAUUGGUGGCAAAAUGCUAUCAACUUUCCUCACUGAUCAGGAGUAAGACAAAGCUGUCAUCCCUCAGUGCUCUUCAGCUUGGUUCCAGCCAGGGCAGUGGGCAGAGGGAAGGAGUUACAGGUACUCAGACUGGAAAGGAAGAAGUAAACCUUUCCAGAUGACAUGAUCUGUGUGUAUACAAUGUUAAGGGAUACACACAACUCACUAGAGCUAAUAAAUGCAUCAGGGUUGUAGGAUUUAGGAUUAAAACACAAAAAUCAAUUGAUUUUUAUAUAUUGGCAAUGAACAGAUUUUCCAAAAAGGAAAUUAAGAAAAUAUAUCCAUUUAUAGUAGCAUCAAAAGGAAUAAAAUACUUAGGGAUAAAUUUCAAAAAAAAUAGGUCAACACUUAGUUAAAACAUCAGUGGAAAAAAUAAAGUGGAGACAAAUAAAGUGGAGACAAAUCUAUUUUGAUGGGCAGAGUUAGUGAGAGAGAGAGAGGGAGGGCAGUGUCUUAACAGUAGUUCGUUAGCUACGACACCAAAAGCACAAACACCCAAAGGGAAAAAAUAGGCAAGUCAUACUUCAUCAAAUGGUAAACCUGGUGCCUCCAAGGAUGCUACUGAGAGAGCAGGAGCACUCAAAGAAUGGGAGAGAUGGCUUCACAUUAUGGAUCUGGGCAGGAG
Lepus europaeus (European hare) is the source of this 8300-nucleotide RNA transcript. It is a transcript of the gene named leucine rich repeat containing 28, with no coding region annotated. The transcript has 10 exons. Lineage: Eukaryota; Metazoa; Chordata; Mammalia; Lagomorpha; Leporidae. The record is from RefSeq and is a predicted model, not a curated record.